AUCACUUUCAACAACGGAUCUCUUGGUUCUCGCAUCGAUGAAGAACGUAGCGAAGUGCGAUAAGUAGUGUGAAUUGCAGAAUUCCGUGAAUCAUCGAAUCUUUGAACGCAAAUUGCACUCCCUGGUAUUCCGGGGAGUAUGCCUGUUUGA
RNAcentral lists this ribosomal RNA (150 nucleotides) under Glomus mycorrhizal symbiont of Marchantia foliacea. RNAcentral's name for it is "5.8S ribosomal RNA". It matches the Rfam family "5.8S ribosomal RNA". From Rfam's summary of the family: 5.8S ribosomal RNA (5.8S rRNA) is a component of the large subunit of the eukaryotic ribosome. The record is from RNAcentral. Lineage: Eukaryota; Fungi; Glomeromycota; Glomeromycetes; Glomerales; Glomeraceae.